GACGAACGCUGGCGGCGUGCUUAACACAUGCAAGUCGAACGAUGAAGAAAAGAAUUGAAGCUUCGGCAGAAAUUCAUUUCGGAUUAGUGGCAGACGGGUGAGUAACGCGUGAGCAACCUACCUCUUACAAAGGGAUAGCCUCGGGAAACCGGGAUUAAUACCAUAUAACAUUGCGACGAAGCAUUUCGAUGCAAUCAAAGCUACGGCGGUAAGAGAUGGGCUCGCGUCCCAUUAACCAGAUGGUGAGGUAACGGCUCACCAUAGUAACGAUGGGUAACCGGCCUGAGAGGGCGAACGGUCACACUGGAACUGAGACACGGUCCAGACUCCUACGGGAGGCAGCAGUGGGGAAUAUUGCACAAUGGAGGGAACUCUGAUGCAGCGACGCCGCGUGAGUGAUGAAGGAAUUCGUUUCGUAAAACUCUGUUCUAUGGGAAGAAAAGGACUGUACCAUAGGAGAAAGCUCCGGCUAAAUACGUG
This 480-nucleotide ribosomal RNA is filed under the name uncultured bacterium. Its description in RNAcentral is "partial 16S ribosomal RNA". It matches the Rfam family "Bacterial small subunit ribosomal RNA", at positions 28 to 507 of the family's 1533-position model. The record is from RNAcentral.